RNA transcript from Helianthus annuus (common sunflower), 1260 nucleotides. It is a transcript of the gene named 3-isopropylmalate dehydratase small subunit 1, with no coding region annotated. The transcript has 3 exons. The record is from RefSeq and is a predicted model, not a curated record. NCBI's taxonomy places the organism in Eukaryota, Viridiplantae, Streptophyta, Magnoliopsida, Asterales, Asteraceae.
GAUUCAUCUAGUAGCCAUAUACAGCCCAAAAAUUUAAAACCCAGCCCAUGAACUUUAGUCAACAAAGCCAUUUUUAUACUCCCAGCACCUCACCAUUUAGCACGUCUUCUUCCUCCACCAACCACGCUGUCAACAAUGGCAACCACUGCUUCUCUUGCAAACCCUAACACGUUUUCCUCCACCAUAACCCACCGUCAACAACCUCCAGCUUCCAUCUCCACCUUCAACGCAUUCACUUCCACCAAACAACCUUCAUUCAAAACCCUAAUUUCUCACAAAACUCCAACCGUAAUCCGUCAUGCAUCCGUCAUCGCUGCGGCGGCGGCUUCCGAUUCACCGUCCUCAGCUCCGGCGACCUCAUUUCACGGCGAGUGCUACGUCGUACGAGACAACAUCGACACCGAUCAAAUCAUUCCGGCUGAAUACCUAACCCUAGUUCCGUCAAAACCUGACGAAUACAAAAAGCUCGGAUCGUACGCUCUUGUCGGUUUACCGGAAUCGUACGAGACUCGAUUCGUUGAGACUGGAGAAUACCGAACAAAGUAUCCGAUUAUUAUCGCCGGAGAUAACUUCGGAUGCGGCUCGUCGCGUGAGCACGCGCCGGUGGCGUUGGGAGCAGCGGGAGCGGUGGCGGUGGUGGCGGAGUCGUACGCGAGGAUAUUUUUUAGGAAUUCGGUUGCGACCGGAGAGAUUUAUCCGUUGGAGUCAGAAGUUAGGGUUUGUGAUGAGUGUAAGACUGGAGAUGUGGUGACAAUUGAGCUUGAGAAGAGUGUUUUGAUUAAUCAUACGACCGGGAAACAGUAUGCGUUGAAGCCGAUUGGUGAUGCUGGGCCGGUGAUUGAAGCCGGUGGGAUUUUCGCUUAUGCGCGAAAAGCUGGGAUGAUUCCUGCUUAGUAACUUAAGUCUUGUUAAAGUGUGUUCUCUAAGCUGGAAAUGAUUUGGCUGAAAAAUGAGAUUUUGAAUUGUGAUUCUUUGGCUCAUUCACCAUCAGGCUUCUGUAGACGAGAAACAUCUCAAAGCUACAUAUCCAGGCAUGUUGCGUACACAAAUCGAGUGCAAGUUUUUUUUUCCAGUGUUGAUGGCUUUAGUAGUUCCAUAAAUAGCGACAGGUUUUGUGAUUUGAUAAAUGUUUUUAUCGUUUGUUUUUCUUCGUGUCGUACAACUAGUAAAACCGGACUCAUUUUGAGAAAUAAUGUGUUGUGUGUGUUUCUGUAGGGUGGUAAUCAAGCUGUUAAACUUAUCAUUUCAACAGUUGCAAAA